This 616-nucleotide ribosomal RNA is filed under the name uncultured Bacteroidota bacterium. Its description in RNAcentral is "bacterial SSU rRNA". It matches the Rfam family "Bacterial small subunit ribosomal RNA", at positions 879 to 1504 of the family's 1533-position model. Lineage: Bacteria; Pseudomonadati; Bacteroidota. The record is from RNAcentral.
AGUACGCCGGCAACGGUGAAACUCAAAGGAAUUGACGGGGGCCCGCACAAGCGGAGGAACAUGUGGUUUAAUUCGAUGAUACGCGAGGAACCUUACCCGGGAUUGAAAUGGAGAGGAAUGAGGGUGAAAGCCUUCAGUCAGCAAUGACCUCUUUGUAGGUGCUGCAUGGUUGUCGUCAGCUCGUGCCGUGGGGUGUCGGCUUAAGUGCCAUAACGAGCGCAACCCUGACUGCCAGUUGCCAGCAAGUAAAGUUGGGGACUCUGGCGGGACUGCCGGCGUAAGCUGUGAGGAAGGUUGGGAUGACGUCAAAUCAGCACGGCCCUUACAUCCGGGGCGACACACGUGUUACAAUGGUGGGGACAACGGGCAGCUACCGGGCGACCGGAUGCCAAUCUCCAAACCCCAUCUCAGUUCGGAUCGGAGUCUGCAACUCGACUCCGUGAAGCCGGAUUCGCUAGUAAUCGCGCAUCAGCCAUGGCGCGGUGAAUACGUUCCCGGGCCUUGUACACACCGCCCGUCAAGCCAUGGGAGCCGGGGGGACCUGAAGUACGUAACCGCAAGGAGCGUCCUAGGGUAAAACCGGUGACUGGGGCUAAGUCGUAACAAGGUAACCGUA